AAGUCGUAACAAGGUUUCCGUAGGUGAACCUGCGGAAGGAUCAUUAAAGAAUUCGGCUUCGCGGCCAAGUUCUCACCCUUUGUAUACCGAAACCAUGUUUGCAUUGGCCAGGCCCAUUGCAUUCGUCCGGGCCUGCAGAUGUUAAUCAACCUAGAAUCUCUGCUGUCUGAGUACUAUACAAUAGUUAAAA
This 190-nucleotide unclassified non-coding RNA is filed under the name plant metagenome. Its description in RNAcentral is "partial contains small subunit ribosomal RNA and internal transcribed spacer 1". The stretch from base 1 to 46 matches the Rfam family "Eukaryotic small subunit ribosomal RNA", at positions 1786 to 1831 of the family's 1831-position model. The record is from RNAcentral.